CAUGCACACCCCAUGCACCCCAUGCAUGCACACACCCCAUAUCCACGUGCACCCCAUGCACCCCAUGCACGCACACACCCCAUAGCCUUGCACACCCCAUGCACCCUGUGCACGCACACACCCCAUAUCCACAUGCACCCCAUGCACCCCAUGCACGCGCACCCCAUGCAUGCGCACCCCACGCACCCCGUGCAUGCACACACCCCAUAGCCAUGCACACCCCAUGCAUCCCGUGCAUGCACACACCCCAUAUCCACAUGCACCCCAUGCACCCCAUGCAUGCACACACCCCAUAGCCUUGCACACCCCAUGCACCCCAUGCAUGCACACACCCCAUAUCCACAUGCACCCCAUGCAUGCACACACCCCGUAUCCAUAUGCACCCCAUGCAUGCACACACCCCAUAGCCAUGCACACCCCAUGCAUCCCGUGCAUGCACACGCCCCAUAUCCCUAUGCACCCCAUGCAUGCACACACCCCAUAGCCAUGCACACCCCAUGCACCCCAUGCAUGCACACACCCCAUAUCCACAUGCACCCCAUGCACGCACACACCCCAUAUCCGUAUGCACCCCAUGCAUGCACCCCAUGCACCCCAUGCAUGCACACACCCCAUAGCCAUGCACACCCCAUGCACCCCGUGCAUGCACACACCCCAUAUCCACGUGCACCCCAUGCACCCCAUGCAUGCACACACCCCAUAGCCAUGCACACCCCAUGCACCCCAUGCACGCACACACCCCAUAGCCAUGCACACCCCAUUCAUCCCGUGCAUGCACACACCCCAUAUCCACAUGCACCCCAUGCAUGCACACACCCCGUAUCCAUAUGCAUCCCAUGCAUGCACACACCCCAUAGCCACGCACACCCCAUGCACCCUGUGCAUGCACACACCCCAUAUCCACGUGCACCCCAUGCACCCCGUGCAUGCACACACCCCAUAUCCAUAUGCACCCCGUGCAUGCACCCCAUGCACCCCAUGGAUGCACACACCCCAUAUCCACAUGCACCCCAUGCACCCCAUGCAUGCACACACCCCAUAGCCACGCACACCCCAUGCAUGCACCCCAUGCACCCCAUGCGUGCACACACCCCAUAUCCAUGCACACCCCAUGCACCCCAUGCAUGCACACACCCCAUAUCCACAUGCACCCCAUGCACCCCGUGCGUGCACACACCCCAUAUCCAUGCACACCCCAUGCACCCCAUGCAUGCACACACCCCAUAUCCACGCACACCCCGUGCACCCUACACCCAUGCACACCCCACGCCGACCCCACACCCACCCCUGCCCCACACAGACCCCAUCGCCACCGGUUCCCGCUGCCGAGCGCGGCCCCGUUUCCCACGUGGUGCUGCUCCCUCCCUGCGCCCCAUAGAUAACGCCCCGUGCUGCUGCUAUGGGGUGAUAGUGGGGGGCUGCAACUGUCACCGGGGCUGGGAGCCCCCACCUGCCCUCCCCCCGUUUGUGGGGCCGGUCCCAAUGUCCCCAUGGGCAGAGGUUGUGGCUUUGGGGUCCUGGCUUUGGGGUCCUAACUUUGGGGUCCUGGCUUUGGGGUCAUGCUGUGGGGUGGUGGCCUUGGGGUGCCCCCGGCGCUGAGCACCGUGUCCCGCUGUAGAUGGGUGCGCGAGUUCCUCAAUGACGAGAACAAGGGGCUGGACGUGCUGGUGAACUACCUGUCCUUCGCCCAGUGCGCCGUCAUGUGAGUGGGGGC
Molecule: long non-coding RNA, 1714 nt
Organism: Numida meleagris (helmeted guineafowl)
Lineage: Eukaryota; Metazoa; Chordata; Aves; Galliformes; Numididae
Source: Ensembl